Molecule: long non-coding RNA, 321 nt
Organism: Chinchilla lanigera (long-tailed chinchilla)
Lineage: Eukaryota; Metazoa; Chordata; Mammalia; Rodentia; Chinchillidae
Exons: 3
Source: RefSeq, a predicted model, not a curated record
GAGCAAGCAACUGAGUGUAUUUUUUUAUCAGUCUUCAAGGGGACAUGAAGGAAUUUUCAUGUCAUCCAAAAGUAAUUAUUUUGAAGUGAUAGAUACAUAACAGACACUAUUGGACAGCAGAGUCACAUUGAUGAAGAGACACAUGAGGCAGCUAAACUAAUGAAACUGCAGAUCGAAUGUGACGGAGGAUAAACAGUUCAGUCUCAACAACAGAGCGACAAAAGGAAUCACACAGCUGGGUACAGCGGCACAAGUCUGUGACAGUCACAGCUACUUGGAAGGCUGCGGCAGGAAGAUCUCCAUUUCAAGACCAGCUAUAGC